This 460-nucleotide ribosomal RNA is filed under the name uncultured bacterium. RNAcentral describes it as "partial 16S ribosomal RNA". It matches the Rfam family "Bacterial small subunit ribosomal RNA", at positions 338 to 795 of the family's 1533-position model. The record is from RNAcentral.
CCUACGGGGGGCAGCAGUGAGGAAUAUUGGUCAAUGGACGAGAGUCUGAACCAGCCAAGUAGCGUGAAGGAUGACUGCCCUAUGGGUUGUAAACUUCUUUUAUAUGGGAAUAAAACGUUCCACGUGUGGGAUUUUGUAUGUACCAUAUGAAUAAGGAUCGGCUAACUACGUGCCAGCAGCCGCGGUAAUACGGAGGAUACGAGCGUUAUCCGGAUUUAUUGGGUUUAAAGGGAGCGUAGGUGGAUUGUUAAGUCAGUUGUGAAAGUUUGCGGCUCAACCGUAAAAUUGCAGUUGAAACUGGCAGUCUUGAGUACAGUAGAGGUGGGCGGAAUUCGUGGUGUAGCGGUGAAAUGCUUAGAUAUCACGAAGAACUCCGAUUGCGAAGGCAGUUCACUGGACUGCAACUGACACUGAGGCUCGAAAGUGUGGGUAUCAAACAGGAUUAGAUACCCCAGUAGUC